CCUACGGGAGGCAGCAGUGAGGAAUAUUGGUCAAUGGGCGCGAGCCUGAACCAGCCAAGUAGCGUGAAGGAUGACUGCCCUAUGGGUUGUAAACUUCUUUUAUAUGGGAAUAAAAUGUUCCACGUGUGGGAUUUUGUAUGUACCAUAUGAAUAAGGAUCGGCUAACUCCGUGCCAGCAGCCGCGGUAAUACGGAGGAUCCGAGCGUUAUCCGGAUUUAUUGGGUUUAAAGGGAGCGUAGGUGGAUUGUUAAGUCAGUUGUGAAAGUUUGCGGCUCAACCGUAAAAUUGCAGUUGAAACUGGCAGUCGUGAGUACAGUAGAGGUAGGCGGAAUUCGUGGUGUAGCGGUGAAAUGCUUAGAUAUCACGAAGAACUCCGAUUGCGAAGGCAGCUUACUAAACUGCCACUGACAUUGAUGCUCGAAAGUGUGGGUAUCAAACAGGAUUAGAUACCCUAGUAGUC
This 460-nucleotide ribosomal RNA is filed under the name uncultured bacterium. RNAcentral's name for it is "partial 16S ribosomal RNA". It matches the Rfam family "Bacterial small subunit ribosomal RNA", at positions 338 to 795 of the family's 1533-position model. The record is from RNAcentral.